UUCAAUUUUUCGAAAAGUUGUUCGAGAUAUGCUGCUCCAGCUCCUGGGAGCAGGCGCAGGUUGAUAGGCUCUUGGACUCUCCCCGCGAGCCGACGUCCUAUAACAUAUGUCUUUUGCUUUUUCCGA
This is a non-coding RNA of Caenorhabditis elegans, 126 nucleotides long. NCBI's taxonomy places the organism in Eukaryota, Metazoa, Nematoda, Chromadorea, Rhabditida, Rhabditidae. The record is from Ensembl.